UACGUAGGGUGCGAGCGUUAAUCGGAAUUACUGGGCGUAAAGCGUGCGCAGGCGGUUCGUUGUGUCGGCGGUGAAAGCCCCGGGCUCAACCUGGGAAUGGCCGUUGAAACUGGCGAACUGGAGUGUGGCAGAGGGGGGUGGAAUUCCGCGUGUAGCAGUGAAAUGCGUAGAGAUGCGGAGGAACACCGAUGGCGAAGGCAGCCCCCUGGGCUGACACUGACGUUCAGGCACGAAAGCGUGGGGAGCAAACAGG
RNAcentral lists this ribosomal RNA (253 nucleotides) under uncultured bacterium. RNAcentral's name for it is "partial 16S ribosomal RNA". It matches the Rfam family "Bacterial small subunit ribosomal RNA", at positions 524 to 776 of the family's 1533-position model. The record is from RNAcentral.